This 882-nucleotide long non-coding RNA is filed under the name Homo sapiens (human). RNAcentral describes it as "HSALNT0324569". The record is from RNAcentral. Lineage: Eukaryota; Metazoa; Chordata; Mammalia; Primates; Hominidae.
GCUGAUGGCAGAGCUGAGUCCCGAGAGCUCAGCCCUGAGCUGCCUUUCAUCUGGUCACCGUGUUCAGGGGUUCUUCUCCGUGUAAAUAAACAUCUGCGAUGAAAACCUCCACAGGUCUCAUCAGCAAAGAGGAAGAUCUAUUAAGGAUCUAGUGAGUAAAUGACACUUUUGGAAUGUUUAGAACUUCGAGGGGGAAACCACAUGUUUUCACAUCCCACUAUAUCAUUUCCAUAAGGAUGAGGCAAAGCACUACCCCUAUUUGCAGAAGAGAGACUGCCGUGAAGUCAGUGGACACUAUCUCCAGGUCAGAAUCCAACCUAAAGGCCUUUAAUCAAUGCCUCCUGUCUUUCAGCAGGGCAGAUGCCUCCCAGAAGGAAACCAGAUGCCAGGACUGUGGGGGACUCUUGAGCAGCAUCAGCCAAACUGUAGGAGCUGAGAAGAGGAAGCUUUGCUCAGGGUAAGCGCCCUGGGAUAAUGUCUUUAAUGUCAAGAGGAUGCACGCUGUGAACGUGGAAAGCCCUCCAGGCUGAAAGAGGGAAUAACACAGGCGGGGAGUGUUGCCAAGCAUUUGCGAGCACUCUGUUCGGUGGACAGACAGCCGGCUUGCUCAUGAUUCCGCCUUCUCUGUUAUUGGCAACAAGCCGUCACUGGAACUUUGUAUCCUUAAGCUUUGAGGCCUUGACUCAGGUGGGGGUCCCGGAAUAAGCUCAUGAAGUUUUUGCCUCGUUACCCCCAGGCUCCAAAUCACUGGUACAAAUUUCUCAGUCUGAUUUAAUGCUUAGGGAAAUGUCGUAUUUUUGGAUCCUUCAUUUUAAAAAAACAUAUAUAUUUACCAGUGCUAUCUCCGCCAAUUCCGAAUAAACCUUAGACUUCAGAUCAUGA